This 696-nucleotide ribosomal RNA is filed under the name uncultured bacterium. RNAcentral's name for it is "bacterial SSU rRNA". It matches the Rfam family "Bacterial small subunit ribosomal RNA", at positions 63 to 792 of the family's 1533-position model. The record is from RNAcentral.
CGAGCGCGUUGCCCCUUCGGGGGCGAGUAGAGCGGCGAAAGGGCGAGUAAUGCGUUUCUACGUACCCCGAGGUCGAGGAUAGCCCAGGGAAACUUGGAUUAAUACUCGAUGCGGCGCUUCGGCGUCAAAGGCUUGCCGCCUCGGGAGCGGGGAACGUCCUAUCAGGUUGUUGGUGAGGUAAAGGCUCACCAAGCCGAAGACGGGUAGCGGGUGUGAGAGCAUGACCCGCCGCAUCGGGACUGAGACACUGCCCGGACUCCUACGGGAGGCUGCAGUAACGAAUCUUCCGCAAUGCGCGAAAGCGUGACGGAGCAAUGCCGCGUGCAGGAUGAAGCCCUUCGGGGUGUAAACUGCUGUCAGGGUUCAGCAACUCAAUGAGCAGACCCAAAGGAAGGACCGGCUAAGUUCGUGCCAGCAGCCGCGGUAAUACGAACGGUCCGAGCGUUGCGCGGAAUCACUGGGCUUAAAGCGUACGUAGGCGGGCGCGCAGGCGUUUUGUGAAAGCCCUCGGCUCAACCGAGGAAUUGCUUGACGAACCGCGCGUCUUGAGGCAGGUAGGGGUCGUCGGAACGAUAGGUGGAGUGGUGAAAUGCGUUGAUAUCUAUCGGAACGCCGAAGGAGAAAUCAGGCGACUGGGCCUGUCCUGACGCUGAGGUACGAAAGCGUGGGGAGCGAACGGGAUUAGAUACCCUGGUA